Molecule: long non-coding RNA, 549 nt
Filed under: Amborella trichopoda
Lineage: Eukaryota; Viridiplantae; Streptophyta; Magnoliopsida; Amborellales; Amborellaceae
Description: long non-coding RNA (ATRI_LNC004863)
Source: RNAcentral
UCUCUCUCUCUCUCUCUCUCUCUCUCUCUCUCUCUCUAACCCAACUGCGACGCUCCCAUUGCUCGCUGUCUUACAUUCUCUUCUUCCCCCCCCCUCCUCUCUCUCUACUUUUCUUUUUCCGCUCUCAACUUUUUGGUUUUUUCUUGCAAGUUUUCUACAGGGUUUUGUCUCUCUCAAAAUAGUCUCUUUCUCCUUCCUGCUCGUUCUCGUGCGCCGAAAAGGGAGGCAGGAGGGAAAAAGAGAGAGAAUCCUCAAGUAUCCUUAUUGCCUCUCUUUCUCUCUCUUCUGUGCCUCUUUUCUCUCUCUAACCUAUCAAGGAUGCAAUUUCUCCUCUCUCUCUCUCUCUCUAUCCCCAAGUUUUCUCCAAGAUCCUCAUUGCCUGUAUGACUGAAAUGCCUCUCUUUCUCUCUCUAACCUAUGAAGGAUGCAAUCCCUCUCUCUCUAAAACCCGUUUCUUUUUUGUAUCCAAAUAAGGCAGGUAAAGUUUGACUCUGGUCUCGCUAUUUUUUAUCGCGGUUACCCAAUCAAAAUCGUUCGUUUCAAUCUGUU